Molecule: long non-coding RNA, 13924 nt
Filed under: Triticum aestivum (bread wheat)
Lineage: Eukaryota; Viridiplantae; Streptophyta; Magnoliopsida; Poales; Poaceae
Description: long non-coding RNA (TAES_LNC020105)
Source: RNAcentral
UUUGUUCAUCUCUGUUAGCUCUAUGUUAACCUUCUUUUAGUUACUUCCCAUGAUUUUCUUUGUAAGAAACCCCAGAAAUAUAUAUAGGCGUAUUUUCCCGUGAAGAUGCUAAAUUUUGUUGGUCUUAUUUAUGGGAUAGCGAAACCAUUUUUGUGUGCACUUAAUUUUCAGGUUGGACGCGCCGGGUGUGGGGACACUGCAGGACAUGUUUGAUUAUCAUGUCAGUGAAUUCUGGCGAGAAUGAACCAAGUGAGCUUUUGUAGCUGGUCUAUUCAAAAUGGAUGAACGGACCAGUUAGUGUACAUAUAAGUUUGCACUCUGUCUUCCUGCUCAUUCGUGCAAUGUGUUCAUGGGAGACUUAUUUUAGGAAAACAUAAAAUAAUCUUUCUUUCUGUGCGUACUACUCUAGCUUUCAAGUGCCAGGCUUCAAUAAAUCUGAAAUUUCUAUCGCUCGAUUUGCAGUGUUUAUUUUACGGUUACCACUGGGAAAUGCUUCCUUUUAAUCAUUUUUAUCUGGUACACACCAUUGUAAGUGUAUUAUUUAAGAAAUCAGGUCCAUUCUGGAAGAAUAUUCACUCAUGAUAGUUUUGAGUUUCGGUAAAGCAGAAUGUGUACAUUCAUUUUAAAAUUGUCCAAUGGAUCAUAGUUUGUUCCGCGUAAAAGAAAAUGAUGCUUACAAAAAAUUAUGCUCGAUUAGGAUGUAACGAUGAGUGAUGCUACUUGGGAUGAUGCUCAAUUAGGUAGAGGACACAUCAAUGGUGGGGUAGCCGUAGGCAUAGCUAAUAGGUGGAGUAGGAGAAGAUGUACAUAUGAUGGUGAUGUGAGCACAUACAUAGGAGUGAAGCUAGCGAAGAUACAACAAGCUUGCUGCGAGAAGAGGAAUGGAAGAGGAUUUGGAGGAGAGGAGAUGGGGGCCAUGGUAUAAAUUUAGAGGAUUAGGAAAAGGGUGUGCACAUGAUGGCGAAAUGAUAUGGAGUAAGCAAAUGAUAGAACAAUGGCGUAGCCGAAUGUGACGAGGGGGCGGGGGAAACCGGUCAAGAUGGCGUCGAGGUGAUAGGAACCAUGGUGGAAUUGUGUCGGAGUAGUAGAAGUUACUCACAUGACAAUGUAAUGACAUGGUGGCUUCAGAGAAUCUGAUGAGCAAAAGAACAUGGAGAAAGAUUAUAGCUUGUAUUCAAUAACAUGUGUGACAUAGAUAAAGAGAGUUAAAUGAAACAUAUAUUUGAUUGAUGAUUACAUUGGUUUGUUAUUCUGUAGCAACAUGUUUAUAUGAACUAUUUUACCAAUGAGAAUGCUAGAGCAGGGUCAUGUGAAGGAAGACUACUAAUAGAAUAAUAAAUUAUUUUUUUUAAAAGGUGGAGAAAUUGGAUCUGCCUUCUUUCGGGGAGGGGGGCAUCAUGGGUGGUGCAUGCCUCCUCCCCUUGAUGGUGGUGGUGAAUUGGCACUAACACUGGGACGUGAUCAGGGCGGAGCACGGGGCGCUUGGCGGGGGACUCAUUGGCGGUCCGUGGAGAAGUACAGUGUUUGAAGAGAGGGUGUCAUGGUGAAGAUGAGUCAGGCAUCAUCCUGUUUUAAAGAAGAGGGCUCCAGUGAGAAAUGUCGAGUGAGAAGGGGAGGUUUUGCCAGGAAAACAUAAAGGCCCCUUGUGAAGUGGAGUUUUUUGUGUUGGAACCAUGUGUUAGAGAUAAGAAUAGAUUGGGUAACCAUAUUUCUCCCCAACUUAUGGGCUGGAUUUGGAGGAGCUUGGACUAUUGAGACUAUUGAAUUUUGGGGAGCCUGCUAUCGUCCGUUUGACGUCAGCAUAACAUACGAGGGAGCAAUGAGUUUCGAUCUUGAAGACGACGUUAAUCCUUUAACUGGUUCAUUUAUAUGCAUUGUAGCCCGUAGCGUGUGUGUGUGAAAUAGAUGGAUUAUAGUCCCGUACCCAAUAAUAUGGAUGUGUGUGUGUGUGUGUUAGAAAGAGAUAUGGGGAGAGAAAGUGAGGAAGAGGGAGGGAGAGAGUGUGUGAGGAUUUGAUGGUAAAAAAGAUCGCCAAUGUCACUUGAUAUGUAUGAAAAUAUUAAUAUUGAACUCUUAAAGUUAAUGUGGCCCCGUUGCAACGCACGAACGUUCUUUUAGUAUUAAUAAUAGAACACAUAGUCGGUACGUUUCCGGACAGCGUCGCCGGCGCAGCCGUGCCUCUGUCCUCGGCUCAACCCGGCAUGGAUGUCCAGAUAUGGUGGACAUCUUUCUGUACGGCUUGAUGGGUACUGCUCCCUGGCGGAACAGGCUUGAAUCCCUCUUAUUCGUCCCGGGCGGCACCGUUGUUUCUUAUUUUUUUAGGAGUCAAGGUUGUAUUCCUGAGGGGAGCAUACAUAUUAUCUUGAUUGAGUUGAUUUUUGGCUACUGUAUUACGGUUACAACUUACCAGCAACAUAGAAAUAGAGUCAUGUCUGAUAAGGUAUUCUGCUUCAGCUGUAUGCUUGCAGAGCAUUUGGUUUUUCCAUCCAAGUAUUACUAAACUCUACCAAGUUUUAUAAUGACACGGGAUAUGUACCGAGUAAUGAGUAUGUACAGAAGUUUUGGUACUUCGUUCUUGCAUGGAGGUGAGCAACAAUGGGCUGCAUGCUGGAAUUUUGUCUAUUUUGGGUCUAGCCCAAUAGCAGUUUCAGAAAUUCCUAAUAAAUUCUAGAGGCCCACUUAGCUCAUUUAUGCAAGGCAAGGGAUACUACUAAAGUUUAGUCCCACGUUGCUAGUUAAGUGGGAGUUGGACCUCCUUAUAAGAGAAGUUUUUUCCCUACUUGUAUGAGCAUGAAAACAAGAGGGAUAUCCAUGCACGCUCCUCCUCUGCCGCCCGCCACGCCAAGCCACGACGCGACGCGCCGCGGGUUGCGGGAAUGAGGCGAGCCAAUGUCUAUUACGAAAGUGGAGUUCCAAUGCGAUGAAGAUGAUGUUUAUCUUCUCCUUGUCAAUUCACAUGGCUUGUUUUAUCACUACUAUUUUAGUCAUACUUUAUCUAGUAUUUCCGUUAGCAAAAUUAUUUGGUAAAUUGCUUAUAUUUCCAACACUGCAAACGCGGCCGCCGCCCAUCACCUGCUAAAAUUCAAGCACAACCGUAGGCUGCCUUGAAUACUAGGAGUUGUCAAAGGUGAUGUCUUUUAGCUCGACCAUUUUUAUUGAUUUAGUUUCUAACAAUUUUGGGUAGCUCCCGUGGUGGCGCGCAUGGCCAGGUACGGCGUGCAGGCGAUUGGAUCUGGCGUGGGGGCGGCCAGGUGAGGGCGGAUCUGGCGCCGGCGAGGGCGAGGGCAUGGCGCGGCCUGCCGCGGAGGCGGCCAGGCGAGCGGAUCUGGCGCGCGUCCAGGGGCGAGCGGGCGUGGUGCGCGGCUUGGCCCGGUGGCGGCCAGGCGAGGGCGCGCGCGGGCCCAACCCGGGGUGGGCGUGGCCUGGCGCGGUGGCGGCCAGGCAAGGGCGCGUGGAGGUGCCUUGGAUUCAGGGCGGGCUGGCGGGGCGGCGCCCCUCCGGCGUGUGGCGGCCGGAUCUGGUCGAACCUGGCCAGAUCCGUGGUGUGUUUGACGCGCGCCGGCCCUGUGCACUGGUCCUAUGAUGCUGGAGCAGGCGGCUCCGGCCGUGAUAGAUGCGGGAUGCAGGGACUGAUCUGGUCAUUGUAGGCUCGCCGUGGGCGGGGUGGACCACGACUCCAUGGCUUCUACGACUAGGUUCUGCGGCGGUGGCGGUGCGAGACUGCAUGGACGAGCAUCUGUGGGCACGAGCGAAGGUGUGCUGCAAUACGGACGAAAGUCCUGCACGACCAGAGGCCGGUGGCGAUGGCGCCUGUGGGUGUCAUUUUCCUCCUUGGAGGCGUCACCUGAGGUGUGUCGGCAUCUUCCUCGUGCUCGGAUGGUGGUUUGUCUCUGGGCGAAAUCCUAGGUCCGGUGUUGGAUCGACGUGAUGGUGGCGUGUUUGACGUCGUUCCUCUGUUGGGAGCAUCACGUUUGGAGACACUUCCUGGAAGCUCUUUGCGGCGCUCCUCCGGUGCUCGCCGCUGUUCAAGGUGAAGCUCCAGGCGCAAUGUACAGCAUCAUUGAUGAGUCCAAGACGAAGCUCUUCCUGGGAUCGACCAAGUCCCGCCAUCUACCCCCUGCUUCCUGGGUGGAUGGUGCGUUGGCAAGAGAAGUUGUAGUGGGAGAUGCUACUGUCUUCGGAGGUGAUCGGCGUUGUUUGAGACGCGGUGGUGGUGCUUAGCUUAGGGCAGGUGCUUCGGUUGUGUAGUCAUGUUGUUUGUGGUGGGUGUAGCUCUUUGCAGCUAUUAGGGCCGCAUUUUUUUCUUUCUCUUUUUGAUCUUCGGAUCUUCACCAUGUUGUUCUUCCGCUGCUUUCUGCUAAAUCUGAAUCAAGCCAGCAAUUUACUGAAUCUUUCAAAAAAAACUUGGAAAGUUUCAUCCCUCAAGUUAAAUUGGCAAAAUCCAUUCGUUACUUACAGCAAAAAAUAUGGGCACUGUUCUUCCAAUUUUUAAUCACGUUCCUAGAAAUAUAGGUUUAAUGCUGGCUCUGCAAUGUUCCUAUUCAUAUGCAUGAUUUUGAACUGCUCUUUGUGCUCUUUCCUUCUUGCAGAACCAAUGUUUCCUCACGGGGAAGACAAUAACUUUUUUUGGUGCUCUACAUUUAAAUUUGGUGGUAAAGAUUUUGUGAUCCAGCCUCAUGACGCCUUGAGAAUGCUGAGAUCCGCCAUCAUGCUCUUCUCUGUUGCCGACUAUGACCUUCUGAUGCAUCCGGUCAACUUCGCCACAUGAUAUGUGUUUUGCUUGGAGCGUCAUUUUAGUUGAUUUAGCUUUGCUUGCUGUUUGAAUAAAAUACCAAGAUAUGAAAUUAUUAAAUGUUAGAGAGUCUUCACAUAGCUGCAUAAUUAUUCGACUACUCAUUGAUCUUCACUUAUAUCUUUCGGAGUAGUUUGUCGUUGCUCUAGUGCUUCACUUAUAUCCUUUUAGAGCACGGUGGUGGUUUUAUUUUAAAGAAAUAGAUGAAAUCUCGUGCUUCACUUAUAUUAUUUUGAGAGUCUUUAGAACAUCAUGGUAAUUUGCUUUGGUUAUGAAUUUAGUUCUAAUAUGAUGGGCAUCUAACAGGGAUAUAAUAAAAACUUCCAUAUGAAGUGCAUUGAAUACUAAGAGAAGUUUGAUACUUAAUGAUUGUUUUGAGAUAUGGAGAUAGUGAUACCAAAGUUGUGCUAGUUGGAUAGUUGUGAAUUUGAGAAAUACUUGUGUUGAAGUUUGCAAGUCCCGUAGCAUGCACGUAUGGUAAACGUUGUGUAAUAAAUUUGAAACAUGAGGUGUUAUUUGAUUGUCUUCCUUAUGAGUGACGGUCGGGGACGAGCGUCUUUUCCUACCAAUCUAUCCCCCUAGGAGCAUGCGCGUAAUACUUGGUUUUUGAUGACUUGUAGAUUUUUGCAAUAAGUAUGUGAGUUCUUUAUGACUAAUGUUGAGUCCAUGGAUUAUACGCACUCUUACCCUUCCCUCAUUGCUAGCCUCUUUGGUACCGUGCAUUGCCCUUUCUCACAUUAAGAGUUGGUGCAAACUUCGCCGGUGCAUCCAAACCCCGUGAUAUGAUAUGCUCUAUCACACAUAAACCUCCUUAUAUCUUACUCAAAACAGCCACCAUACCUACCUAUUAUGGCAUUUUCAUAGCCAUUCCGAGAUAUAUUGCCAUGCAACUUUCCACCAUUCCGUUUAUUAUGACACACAUCAUCAUUGUCAUAUUGCUUUGCAUGAUCAUGUAGUUGACAUCGUAUUUGUGGCAAAGCCACCGUUCAUAAUUUUUCAUACAUGUCACACUUGAUUCAUCGCAAUCCCGGUACACCGCCGGAGGCAUUCAUAUAGAGUCAUAUCUUGUUCUAAGUAUCGAGUUCUAAUUAUUGAGUUUUAAGUAAAUAGAAGUGUGAUGAUCAUCAUUAAUAGAACAUUGUCCCAAAAAAAAUAUAAAAAUAAAAAGAAAGGCCAAAAAAAGAAAGGCCAAAUAAAAAAUAGAAAAAAAGAGAUAGGCCAAAAAAAGAAAGGCCAAAUAAAAAAUAAAAAAAUAAAAGGGGCAAUGCUACUAUCCUUUUUUCCACACUUGUGCUUCAAAGUAGCACCAUGAUCUUCAUGAUAGAGAGUCUCUUGUUUUGUCACUUUCAUUUACUAGUGGGAAAUUUUCAUUAUAGAACUUGGCUUGUAUAUUCCAACAAUGGGCCUCCUCAAGUGUCCUAGGUCUUCGUGAGCAAGCAAGUUGGAUGCACACCCACUCUGUUUCUUUUGUUGAGCUUUCAUACAUUUAUAGCUCUAGUGCAUCCGUUGCAUGGCAAUCCCUACUCCUUGCAUUGACAUCAAUUGAUGGGCAUCUCCCUAGCCCAUUGAUUAGCCGCGUUGAGGUGAGACUUUCUCCUUUUUGUCUUCUCCACAUAACCCCCUCAUUACAUUCUAUUUCACCCAUAGUGCUAUAUUCAUGGCUCACGCUCAUGUAUUGCGUGAAAGUUGAAAAAGGUUUGAGAUUACUAAAGUAUGAAACAAUUACUUGGCUUGUCAUCGGGGUUGUGCAUGAUGAGAGCAUUCUUGUGUGACAAAAAUGGAGCAUGACCAAACUAUAUGAUUUUGUAGGGAUGAACUUUCUUUGGCCAUGUUAUUUUGAGAAGACAUGAUUGCUUAGUUAGUAUGCUUGAAGUAUUAUUAUUUUUAUGUCAAUAUUAAACUUUUGUCUUGAAUCUUAUGGAUCUGAACAUUCAUGCCAAAAUGAAGAGAAUUACUUAGAGAAAUAUGUUAGCUAGCAUUCCACAUCAAAAAAUUUGUUUUUAUCAUUUAUCUACUCGAGGACGAGCAGGAAUUAAGCUUGGGGAUGCUGAUACGUCUCCAACGUAUCUAUAAUUUUUGAUCGUUCCAUGCUAUUAUAUUAUCAACUUUGGAUGUUUAUGGGCUUUAUUAUGCAUUUUUAUAUUAUUUUUGGGACUAACCUAUUAACCCAGAGCCUAGUGCGAGUUUCUGUUUUUUCCUUGUUUUAGAGUAUCGCAGAAAAGGAAAAUCAAACGGAGUCCAAUUGACCUGAAACUUCACGGAAUUUAUUUUUGGACCAGAAGAAGCCCACGGAGUAUCGGAGUUGGGCUAGGAGAGUCCCGGGCUGCCCACGAGGGUGGGGGGCGCGCCUACCCCCCUGGGCACGCCCCCUGCCUCGUGGACAGCCCGGAGGUCCACCGACGUACUUCUUCCUCACAUAUAUACCCAUAUACCCUUAAAACUUCGGGGAGCACAAUAGAUCGGGAGUUCCGCCGCCAGAAGCCUCCGUUGCCACCGAAAACCAAUCUAGACCCGUUCCGGCACCCUGCCGAAGGGGGAAUCCCUCUCCGGUGGCCAUCUUCAUCAUCCCAGCGCUCUCCAUGACGAGGAGGGAGUAGUUCUCCCUCGGGGCUGAGGGUAUGUACCAGUAGCUAUGUGUUUGAUCUCUCUCUCUCUCUCUCUCUCUCUCUCUCUCUCGUGUUCUUGAUUUGGCAUGAUCUUGAUGUAUCGCGAGCUUUGCUAUUAUAGUUGGAUCUUAUGUUUCUCCUCCCCCUCGACUCUCUUGUAAUGGAUUGAGUUUCCCCUUUGAAGUUAUCUUAUCGGAUUGAGUCUUUAAAGAUUUGAGAACACUUGAUGUAUGUCUUGCCGUGCGUAUCUGUGGUGACAAUGGGAUAUCACGUGAUUCACUUGAUGUAUAUUUGGGUGACCAACUUGCGGGUUCCGCCCAUGAACUUAUGCAUAGGGAUUGGCACACAUUUUCGUCGUGAUUCUCCGGUAUAAACUUUGGGGCACUCUUUGAGGUUCUAUGUGUUGGUUGAAUAGAUGAAUAUGAGAUUGUGUGAUGCAUAUCGUAUAAUCAUACCCACGAAUACUUGAGGUGAUAUUGGAGUAUCUAGGUGACAUUAGGGUUUUGGUUGAUUUGUGUCUUUAGGUGUUAUUCUAGUACGAACUCUAGGGCUAUUUGUGACACUUAUAGGAAUAGCCCAACGGAUUGAUUGGAAAGAAUAACUUUGAGGUGGUUUCGUACCCUACCAUAAUCUCUUCGUUUGUUCUCCACUAUUAGUGACUUUGAAGUGACUCUUUGUUGCAUGUUGAAGGAUAGUUAUGUAAUCCAAUUAUGUUAUUAUUGUUGAGAGAAUUUGCACUAGUGAAAGUAUGAACCCCAGGCCUUGUUUCCUAGCAUUGCAAUACCGUUUGUGCUCACUUUUAUCAUUAGUUACCUUGUUGUUUUUAUAUUUUCAGAUUACAGAAACCUUUAUCUACCAUCCAUAUUACACUUGUAUCACCAUCUCUUCACCGAACUAGUGCACCUAUACAAUUUACCAUUGUAUUGGGUGUGUUGGGGACACAAGAGACUCUUUAUUAUUUGGUUUCAGGGUUGCUUGAGAGAGACCAUCUUCAUUCCACGCCUCCUACAGAUUGAUAAACCGUAGGCCAUCCACUUGAGGAAAAUUUGUUACUGUCCUACAAACCUCUGCACUUGGAGGCCCAACAACGUCUACAAGAAGAAGGUUGUGUAGUAGACAUCAGUACACCUCACAGAACACUUGGAAAUUGCAAAUGUUAGAUACAGAGUUGGGACCAAUAUCUUGAGGUCGGAGAUCGAAAAAGUGCAGGACAUCUCUGAAAAACUUUGAGCCAGGUGGAGAAAAGCCCCGGUUCAUGUGAUCAGUAAAGACGAUGACUUCCUCCUCUUUGGGUUGAGGUUUUUCCUUUGUUGGAUCAGGAGCACGAUAGGACAUGAGUUCCUUCUUUGGCAGAUAGCCGGUCUUCACAAAAUCAGCAAGGGUGUUUUCUAUGACGAUGGAUUUGACCCAAUUGCAUGUAACGGGUGAUUUGGGCGCUUUCGGCGGCAUUUUAAAGAUGGAAGCCUACGACAAAAUAAAAAUUUCCGGUUCAAAUUUAAGCCGGAGAGAAAUACUUCAAAUCAUACUCAAGAUGGUGGCUUAUAAGAGGGGCCUAAUGGCGUAUGGCUAGUUAUGUCAGAUUGUUUAAGCCGCCAUGAGCAGUUACAGUUAUUUAAGCCACCAGGUGUGGUUGAAGUUAUUUAUUGAGCAUCUCAAAUUAAAGCCAGUGGUGUGAGUCGCCAUGACCAGGUGGGUCUAACAAAUAUAGAUUUUGCCUAAGUGUUGUAGAAACAAGUUUUACAGAUUGCAGCUAUUAUUUUGGAUCAAACGGCUAUUCAGAAAGAAAAUAUUCUAGACCUAAAAAUCUAGUGCAGAUGAGCUCGUGAGUUCUGAUGAGGCCUCUGAACUAGAAAAAGGGAUCUACUAGCAUUUGAAAUGGAUGCGAAACAACUACCGCAUGUGUUUAGUACUUUUUGGCUCAGAAGAGGCUGCGGUGGAGGAACUACGAAAAAACUAUGAUGAACUAUGAAGAACACAGAGGAACUUGAAAACCCUAAUGCGGAUCUGAGGUGCGGGAAGGCGAAGACUUACGGCUGCAGAUCUACUGCGGAGGGUCGCUGCCGUUCUCUGGUCUGAUUCAGGUUGAUGCAACGGCCGAGGUCGAGGAAGACGAGGUGCUCUGCGGCAGCGGCGGAGCUCGAGUGACAGUAGGGUUGCGAGAGGAAAAAGAUGAAGAAAGGGGAGAAUGAGGAAAGACCUGGUCGUGCCUAUUUAUAAGGAAAGGCUGGUAAGUGGGCGCAAAAAACGAGGAAGCCAAAAACAUGAUUAUCCAACUGCAAAGACGCCUCGAUUUUCAGGAUGGUCAUUAAGAUAAAAGAUCCGUUGAGAUACGUUUGGCAAAACAUGCACUAAUGAUAGAUGACGUCAUGGCGGGUCACCAUAAAUCAGCACCUGAGCCGAAAUAGAUUUGUUCCUCUUCAAAAGAAAGUCUCAGCUUACAAGAUGUCAAACAAGAGGAGCCGACGGUGCCAUUGGCCAAGCAAGUAGAAAAUGGCUAGGGAGUUACAUAUAUGUACGUAAUUGUAUUACUCUUAUCUACUCCCAUAUAUAAUGGUCGCUUAGAGCAUCUACAGACGGUUCAUUUAAAUCCUUUGCAAAUGUUCGGGCGGACAGUGCGGCCAUUGUCCGGAGAAAAGAGAGAAGGGAAAGAUGAUUCACCUGUACCCUUCACCUUGUCCCCAUAUGCCCAGGUAGUUCGAACACCCUCAUAUCGAGACCAUGUAUGGGAAGGAUAUGAGGAUAUCCAGGUGCAUUCGGACAGUGUGCCAUCUAGGAGGAGCCGGGUUACGCUAUAUCGAUUCAUCAUAUGAAGCCCAAUAUCAAGCUUGAAGAUGACGGUUCAGUUAAGAGCCCCAAGCCCAAAGGCGACUUAAGGCCCGUAGUGAUAAACCAUCAUAAUAGCAUGACUUAUAUUGUAAGGCAAGAUUAACUAGUCACCGAGCCGGACACUGUUUAUGAGCCGGCCGGGACUCUGUAGGCAGCGAUGCGUCAACCCGUGUAUAUAAGGGGACGACCCGCCGGCGGCUUAGGGCAAGUAACAUCAAAUCGAGAGCCAGGCGUAGCGGAUUCGCUCCUUGGUCAUCGAAACCCUAGCAAUUCCACCUCAACUGAAUUAGACUUUUACCUUCACCGCAAGGGGCCGAACCAGUAUAACCCGCGUGUCCUUUGUCCCGCUUUAACCCCUUUAAGCUUCCUAGUUGCGAUGGCUCCACGUCUAAGUCCUUUCACAAGGACAUCUGCCGUGACAAUUCCACGACAGUUUGGCCCACCUUGAUCAUCUUUUCUCUUUCAUUCUUCAUUCUUUCUUUUCUUUCUCUUUUUUCAUCUCCACCAAUCAAAUGCAUGUGACUCGACAUAUAAUAGGAAUGAAGCAUGACUGCACGCACAAACAAAUAGGGCUCAAAAUUGACACGACCAAAAACUGACCGGACACUUCCGCAGACAUUCGAAUGGCCAAAUUUUCCCAAACGGCUCCCUAAGCCCAUAUGCAAUGCAUAUGGCACCACUUGAGCCAAAAGAAGGGUUAACAUGGAAAACCGAGCCUGAAUGCUUAAUUGCUUAUCCAAUGGAGGUUUUGGGAGAUGUGGAUGGGUGUGUAACAUCAGUUUAACUAGUUGAGCGAGCUAAGCGACAGUUCGCUGGUCGUGAUGGUCCAGAACGUGAGUAUUCUAUUUCUACAGGGCCAAGUGAUGACUGUUUAGUAGUGCAACUGGCCGUUCAAACUUCAAAAUGGACCAUAUUUUAACGUCCGUGCAAAUUUUCAUCUCCAAAAGAUAAAUCGUUGCACGUACGCACGGCCCGGUUGCUUGAUUGCUUCCUGGCUAGUAGGAGCAUAAGUAAACAUGUCUUUGGUGCAAGUUGGCCGGCAGAGACGUCACUUGCUUGGCAGGUUAGUUUGAUUCCAGUGCUUGAAGCUCCAUUCGCCAGUUCAGUCAACCGUCGAUUACAAAAGGGAGCACCAGCACGCGUGAAAGCAUCCCCCAUCGGUUCUAGUGAUGCAUGAAUCUUUGCGUUUAUCUUCCUUGAGGAUACCAAAGAGUUGAGUUCUUAGGCUCCUCCCAAUGCUCCACCGUGGACAGGUGCUAAGCAUUGCCACAUAAGCGAAAAAAUGACAUGGCACUACAUUUAAGAUGGAGAGAGAGUACUUUGAUGACCCCAGGAAGAACCAAUGCUAAGCGCAAAAACCUAGGCAAACCACUUAAAUGAAACAAUUUGACCAAUACAUGAAAGACUUUAGGUGCUAACUCAUUAAAUAAUGUGUGCUUAGCAACAACAAGCUAAGCACCUAUGCAUUGGGGUGUUGAGUUGCUAAGAUAUUUAAUGCACUUAGCACCUCAUCUAAGCACCUUUGCAUUGAAAGAGGUCUUAUCCGUGGACAGUGCAAUGGCCAAUGGUGAGUGAGUGAUGUUUAAAGUAAGUUUGAUAAGAGCAUCUACAACCGGGCACCACAAACCCUCCUCAUAUGUCCCCGUAUGGUGCGCUAGUUCGGGCGUCGCAACGGUGUCGUGGUGGAUAUCACUGGCGCCUCCCAGGACGGAUCCAUCAUCGAUCUCACGUCCACCGGUACCGUUAGGGUUUCGGGCUCCGACGAGGAAGAGUAGGUCAUGGGAGAUAGCGGCGCCUUGAGUCCUUUGAGCCGGGUUGUGCCCCAAGUCCUACUCUACUUUGUCGGUGACCGGACCAACACUCUGAGGGGUUCAGACGGCCGUCGAAUAUGGGCAUGACAGAGCCGGACAAGCUCCGCUUAAGAUUAGGUUUACGUUGCAUGUAAUAGUAUGGAUUCGUGAUUUCUAAUUUGAGAUGUUCGGUUGUGGAAUCAAUUAUUUGAGAUGUGACCGAUCACUGUCCGCGGAUGCGCACGGGCGUGUCCGCGGACGUUUGAGAGGUCAGAUUUGCCAAGUCCGGUUGUAGAUGCUCUAAGGGGGUUAUAGUCGCAAAUUGCUAAUAGAGCUUAGGCUCCAUGGAGCAAGAAUUCAAAAAAAAUAACUUAAAAAUCAACUUCUAAAGUUUUUUUUAAAACAUUUACGUGUCUGUAAAUUUUCAUGAUUAAAUACAUUCUGGCAUGAGCUGUACAAAAUAAACAAAACCUUGGUCCAUAGACAAACAACUCUAUGCAUAUUGACGGUGCCGAGUCAGUAUGUGGGACUACACAAGUUUGAGCAUCUCACAGCACCUGAAAAACAGUCGGCGCCAUCGGUCGGAAGUCGGAACACGAACUAGCUACUGCCCUCUACUCACAAGGCAGGAAACACCGCACCACGGCCACGCCAUCUUAGACUCAUUGUUGUGACAGCCAUUGCGAUUCUGACCAUGCUAGCCUAGAGCACAAUGUCGAGCGAGUCAUGCUAGCAUGCCUUUGAAAUGCCGCCUCUAUGACCAUCUCGAGAACCAUCGUGCAGGAUUCCGAGCUUUCCGCGCGUUUUGUUCGACCUUGGCCCUAGCAAGGCAACCCUAGAUUCAAGCACAAAGUCCGAAUUCAACAAGCCUAGCAAAGGCGAUAGUUUCUACCUCGAAAAUGCUAGACUUACGUUAGGUUGUUACGUGACCUACGUAAAACUUCAUUUCCCUCUAUCCAAACGCCCCACCUCCUGAAUUUCAGGGUGAGCCCUAGCUCCACUAAUGUCCUAUUAAAGACUGUCAAAUCAACCCAUAUGUAUGCUACAUAAAAACAUCUUUGUAGAUGUAGCAUUGCUCACUUCUAUCCCCAUUACCCACAGCCCCACCCACAGCCACAACCCACACACCCCAUCAAGGCACCAACGGGCUGCGACACCAUAGGGUACAUUAGGGUUUUGCCCUACAGUCUCCUGUGGGGACGACUUAUCUGAGGUCAGCGGUGUGGAUUUAACUAAUUAUUUAGCACGGUGAGCUGGUUGCUACUCCUUUCAUUUUAAAAUAGAUGACUCAACUUUAUAAUAACUUUAUACUAAAAUUAAUACAAAGUUGAGUCAUCUUUUUGAAACGAAGGGAGUACUAGGUAGUUUUGACUUUUCUGAUCUUCAUCAUACAACUUUAACUAUGAUUUUCAGGUAUUGCAUGUCUGCUAAAUUAAUACAUGAAAUACAACUGUUUUGGAAGACAAAUGUGAUGAUAUCGGUUAUACAUAUUUAAUCCAUGCAUUUUUAUAUGUAACGUUGUGCACCAAAUACCGUUUAAAGUCAAGCGCGUCUUACAUUUUGGAAGGAGGGAGUACGACAUGAAUAUUAGAAUAUAUACAAACAAAACUUAGCUAUGGUCCUAUGGAUAUGACAGUACGACGUGUACGGAACAGCAGAAUAAUUCAUUUUCAGUUCCAUCAAGCUCAUGCCGACUUACCUUAGAGCAUCUCCAGCCGCUGACUCUCAGGAGGGGCUAAAAAUCGCCCCCGGGAUGCACCGGCGCUAAACCGCGCACUGGGGGCGAGAUGCUCCCCAGUCACGGCGCCCACGUUUCUUUGAAAAAGACAAAUACGGCGCAAACACGGCUCAAAUUUAUCGCAAACAUCGACGAGUUCGUUCAAAUUUAAACGUAUUUUACAAAAAAAAAA